Long non-coding RNA from Sceloporus undulatus (fence lizard), 393 nucleotides. RefSeq lists it as uncharacterized. The record is from RefSeq and is a predicted model, not a curated record. Lineage: Eukaryota; Metazoa; Chordata; Lepidosauria; Squamata; Phrynosomatidae. The transcript is spliced from 3 exons.
AAACAGCGUGCAUGUAACUUCCAUGCCAUUGUGGAAAUUUGCAGGCAUGGAAGUGAGCUGCUGGAGUUUAACCAGACCACUGGGAGCAGGAUCAGAAAACAAGACUGCAGCCAUAGUUCUGCAGGAAAAAAGGGUACCGCUAUUGUCCAGACACCAGUAUUUACUCUUGGCUUGAAUAAUGAGGAACCGGUGGGUGAAGUGCAACUAGUGUCAUCUCCCAGUAUGGAUAGCCUGAUGUAUGUCCUUCAAAUCCAAAACUUCUUCUAGAGGACCUUCUUUCUGCUUCCUGAAGCUUGGUCUCAUCGAUCUACUGUGAGUUCAAUGUGACAUACAUGGCCAUUCUCCUUUCCAUUCUGUCUUCAUGAUGACCCUGUGAGGUAGCUCCAACUGAAA